CCCUACGGGAGGCAGCAGUGGGGGAUAUUGCACAAUGGGCGCAAGCCUGAUGCAGCGACGCCGCGUGUGGGAAGACGGUCCUCGGAUUGUAAACCACUGGCUUUGGGGACGAUAAUGACGGUACCCAAGGAGGAAGCUCCGGCUAACUACGUGCCAGCAGCCGCGGUAAUACGUAGGGAGCGAGCGUUGUCCGGAAUUACUGGGUGUAAAGGGAGCGUAGGCGGGAUAUCAAGUUGAAUGUGAAAUCUACCGGCUCAACCGGUGAUCGCGUUCAAAACUGCAGGUCUUGAGUGAAAUAGAGGCAG
RNAcentral lists this ribosomal RNA (305 nucleotides) under uncultured bacterium. RNAcentral describes it as "bacterial SSU rRNA". It matches the Rfam family "Bacterial small subunit ribosomal RNA", at positions 337 to 660 of the family's 1533-position model. The record is from RNAcentral.